CAGGCCUGCCCAUCUAGGACAC
RNAcentral lists this microRNA (22 nucleotides) under Bos taurus (domestic cattle). Its description in RNAcentral is "bta-miR-2306". The record is from miRBase by way of RNAcentral. Lineage: Eukaryota; Metazoa; Chordata; Mammalia; Artiodactyla; Bovidae.